This 120-nucleotide ribosomal RNA is filed under the name Aspergillus oryzae. Lineage: Eukaryota; Fungi; Ascomycota; Eurotiomycetes; Eurotiales; Aspergillaceae. The record is from RNAcentral.
ACAUACGACCAUAGGGUGUGGAGAACAGGGCUUCCCGUCCGCUCAGCCGUACUUAAGCCACACGCCGGGAGGUUAGUAGUUGGGUGGGUGACCACCAGCGAAUCCCUCCUGUUGCAUGUU